RNAcentral lists this ribosomal RNA (469 nucleotides) under uncultured bacterium. Its description in RNAcentral is "partial 16S ribosomal RNA". It matches the Rfam family "Bacterial small subunit ribosomal RNA", at positions 28 to 507 of the family's 1533-position model. The record is from RNAcentral.
GACGAACGCUGGCGGCGUGCUUAACACAUGCAAGUCGAACGGAAAGGCCCUGCUUGCAGGGUGCUCGAGUGGCGAACGGGUGAGUAACACGUGGGUGAUCUGCCCCUUAUUUUGGGAUAAGCCUGGGAAACUGGGUCUAAUACUGGAUAGGACCAUGCUGUAGGUGGUGUGGUGGAAAGAUUAGUUUCGGUAAGGGAUGAGCUCGCGGCCUAUCAGCUUGUUGGUGGGGUAAUGGCCUACCAAGGCGUCGACGGGUAGCCGGCCUGAGAGGGUGGACGGCCACAUUGGGACUGAGAUACGGCCCAGACUCCUACGGGAGGCAGCAGUGGGGAAUAUUGCACAAUGGGCGCAAGCCUGAUGAAGCGACGCCGCGUGGGGGAUGACGGCCUUCGGGUUGUAAACUCCUUUCAGCCAUGACGAAGCCCUUGUGGUGACGGUAGUGGUAGAAGAAGCACCGGCUAACUACGUG